This 71-nucleotide transfer RNA is filed under the name Stropharia rugosoannulata. RNAcentral's name for it is "tRNA-Ile". It matches the Rfam family "tRNA". From Rfam's summary of the family: Transfer RNA (tRNA) molecules are approximately 80 nucleotides in length. Their secondary structure includes four short double-helical elements and three loops (D, anti-codon, and T loops). The record is from RNAcentral. Lineage: Eukaryota; Fungi; Basidiomycota; Agaricomycetes; Agaricales; Strophariaceae.
GAGCUUUUAAUUUAAUGGUAGAAUGGUUUCUUGAUGAGGAACUAGUAGGAGUUCAAAUCUUCUAAGGCUUA